Molecule: ribosomal RNA, 511 nt
Filed under: uncultured bacterium
Lineage: Bacteria
Description: bacterial SSU rRNA
Rfam family: Bacterial small subunit ribosomal RNA
Source: RNAcentral
UGACGGCCCUAUGGGUUGUAAACUUCUUUUGUACGGGAAUAAACCCAGAUACGUGUAUCUGGCUGAAUGUACCGUAAGAAUAAGGAUCGGCUAACUCCGUGCCAGCAGCCGCGGUAAUACGGAGGAUCCAAGCGUUAUCCGGAUUCAUUGGGUUUAAAGGGUGCGUAGGCGGAUUUGUAAGUCAGUGGUGAAAUCCUGCAGCUUAACUGUAGAACUGCCAUUGAUACUGCAAGUCUUGAGUGUGUUUGAAGUGGGCGGAAUGUGUCAUGUAGCGGUGAAAUGCUUAGAUAUGACACAGAACACCGAUUGCGUAGGCAGCUCACUAAACCACAACUGACGCUGAGGCACGACAGCGUGGGGAUCAAACAGGAUUAGAUACCCUGGUAGUCCACGCCGUAAACUAUGAUCACUCGAUGUUGGCGAUAUACAGUCAGCGUCUAAGCUAAAGCGUUAAGUGAUCCACCUGGGGAGUACGGUCGCAAGAUUGAAACUCAAAGGAAUUGACGGGGGU